GUGCCAGCCGCCGCGGUAAUACGUAGGGUGCGAGCGUUGUCCGGAAUUACUGGGCGUAAAGAGCUCGUAGGCGGUUUGUCGCGUCGUCUGUGAAAUUCUGCAACUCAAUUGCAGGCGUGCAGGCGAUACGGGCAGACUUGAGUACUACAGGGGAGACUGGAAUUCCUGGUGUAGCGGUGAAAUGCGCAGAUAUCAGGAGGAACACCGGUGGCGAAGGCGGGUCUCUGGGUAGUAACUGACGCUGAGGAGCGAAAGCGUGGGGAGCAAACAGGAUUAGAUACCCUGGUAGUCCACGCCGUAAACGGUGGGUACUAGGUGUGGGGUCCAUUUCACGGAUUCCGUGCCGUAGCUAACGCAUUAAGUACCCCGCCUGGGGAGUACGGCCGCAAGGCUAAAACUCAAAUAAAUUGACGG
This 414-nucleotide ribosomal RNA is filed under the name uncultured bacterium. Its description in RNAcentral is "bacterial SSU rRNA". It matches the Rfam family "Bacterial small subunit ribosomal RNA", at positions 505 to 916 of the family's 1533-position model. The record is from RNAcentral.